Scleropages formosus (Asian bonytongue) is the source of this 1631-nucleotide long non-coding RNA. The record is from Ensembl. NCBI's taxonomy places the organism in Eukaryota, Metazoa, Chordata, Actinopteri, Osteoglossiformes, Osteoglossidae.
AUCCACGGGAAGCUGUUGCGCAUGCGCAGACAGCGCUUGAGCACAGAGAUGUGGUCGGUCAGGUGCAGGUAGGUAGGGCGGGGCUCGGUGCUGGCGAUCGAAUAAAGUUGUGGAGUAAAGCUAAGUUGCCGGAGUGGAGAAAGAUGGUGAUUGGUUUCAUCCGCGAACAGGAAGAGGAGACAAGGCGCGUAACUGCGACGUCACAUGGUGUGCAAGGGCGAUGUUUGGCUUGGGAGCAUGUGGAGAAAUGGAAGAUCAGCUGGCGUGAUCUGUGGGCGAUGGACGCCGGUCGUAUUAUGUUUCUCAUCGGAGCCACCUACGAUGUUCUCCCUACUCCGCAGAAUCUUAAUCGCUGGGAGAAUCUGCCGACUCAACAUAGACCCAGCGGAUUUGGAGCACCUACGAGAAGCGGUGUCCGCGCAGGGUACACUUCUUGGAUUGCACGAGCAGACUCUGUGGCAAAUUUUAAAGACGCUUCAGAACCUGAGGCCAGCGGCUUCUGAGCCUGAAGCCGCCAGGGCAUCUCCGCUGGCUGUCGCAGAAAUGCCUGCGGCUGCCAUCACAGCUGCUCCUGUGUCAUCACCAAUCACCCCGAUCCUGCCAACGAUGGACCCCCGACUAACACCAAAAAGUAUGAUGGGGCACCCAAAAAAUGCCUGGGGUUUAUUCUGCAAUGCAAGCUGGUGUUUGCAAGCCAUCCGCAGAUAUAUCAGUCUGACAUAAGUCGGAUUACCUACAUAAUUUUCCUGCUGACGGGACCCACGUUAGACUGGGCCACGGCGGUAUGGUACAAGAAGAACACCACUUAUACGUGCUUCCUCAACCAGUUUCAGGCAGUGUUUGAUCUCCCAUUUUCGGCGCGUGCCGCCAGCGACCGCUUAAUGGUAAUCCAGCAGGGGAGCCGGACCAUAGCCACCUACUCCCUGGAGUUCUGGACGCUGGCUGAGAAGAGCAGCUGGAAGCAGACAGCCCUCCUGGCCUCCUUCCGCCACAGGCUGCACCCCUGGAUUCAGGCAGAGCUAGUGUACCUCGGGGAGGAUUGGACCUUGGGCCACUUCAUUGAAAAUGCCAUAAUCAUGGACAACCUUGCUCGGGAGCAUCUUCCCCAUCCAUGGGUGCCCCCAUCGGAGACAGUGAUACUAUCGGAGGCCCCGGACCCAUGCAGCUGGGCCAAGGGCACCUCUGUCCAGAGGAACAAAUGUGGUGGAUCCAGGGCCAGCUAUCCCUGUACUGCAGAGGAGCGGGGCAUUACCGAGCCAGCUGUGAAGCCCUGUGAAGUCCUGUGAAGCCCUCCAGUCAGCCCCAACACGGAACCGAGGUGAGUGCUGCUCUCCGCACCAAAUCCCAACUAACGUUCCGUUAGAGGCGAGCUGGGGGUCCUCCCAGGUACAAACCCGCAUGUUGGUCUAUUCAGGGGCCGUGAGUUGUUUUAUGGAUAUUAACUUCGCACAGCUCCAUGGCAUAACGAUAUGCGAAUGUGAGAUCAUCCAACGGAUCAAGGCCCUAGACAGGCAACCGCUGGGCACGGGUGUAGUGGAGAAACAAACCAUACUGUUACAGGUCCGGGUCGAGGCUUGCCAUACCGAGGACCUCGCGUUCUAUUUGAUCAGGUCACCAGAGACGCCGGUGAU